UCGAUUACUUGUGUAGGAUUCCCUAAAGGUUAACUUGCAGGUGGAGUCUGUGGUGAGGAAGGCAAAUGUGAUAUUAGCAUUCAUUUCCAGAGGACUGGAAUAUAGGAGCAGGAUGUGAUGCUGAGGCUUCGUAAGGCACUGGCCAGGCUGCACUUUGAUAAUUAUGAGCAGUUUUGGGCAUCUUGUGGAAGGUGUGACAACAGUCAACAAUCUAACCACUAUGACCUUGCUGCCAUUGAGAUGGCAGGCCUCUCCCCCUGCUCUAGGCCUUUGCCUGUGGUAACCAGAAGAAAUAGUUUGGAUUUUAUACAUAUCAUCCUGGCUUUUAAAAUCAAAUGGUGCGAUAAAUCUUCCAGGCAGGAGAGCAGCUGCAAACGGGGAAUGUUUACUUAAUGGGAAUUCACAGCGAUGGUUCGUAAACAGUGCUGACAGGCCGAUGGAACAGUCUGGAAUCAAGGCUGCGGCCUGGCCAAAAGAAACAUGCCAGGCCUGCCUCGGAAUUCCUCUGUGCGGAUUAAACCGAGGCCACGGCAGGAAUCCCUCCAUAAUUAAUGAGCAGCCAACAGAUUUACUGUUCCCGCCUGAUGUAGCGUCCCUGGACAUCUCUUCUCUCAGUGCGCAGUCCACGCUUCGUUGGUGCUGUACAGUAAAGGCUCAAAGUUCACAACUCAAAGUCCAUUUAUUAUCAAGUUACGUAUACGUCACCGUAUACUCUCUGAGAUUCAUUUACUUGCAGGCAUUUACAGUAGAAAAGAGAAAUACAAUAGAAUGAACGAAAACUACACACAAAAGCAGCCAAACAAUCAAGAUGCAAAAGAUGAAAAACUGCGCAAAUAGAAAAAUAAAUAAAUAAAUAAUGUGGAGAACACGAGUUGAAGAGUCCUUGAAAGUGUGUCCAUAGGUUGCAGAAUCAGUUCAGAGUUGAGGUCACCCUUGGGCAAGGUGUAGCACCCGAUCAGGGUCACGUGAAGCCACGGGAGCAGGUGGUGGAUGGUUGUAUGAGCAGCCGGUGCAGAUCACAAGUCCUGGUUAUGUGACCACUGACGCCAGGCAGACAGUCUCUGAAGAGUAUUGAUAAUGGCUGGGGUCACCCGUCUUGUAAAGACACUGCCCAGAAGAAGGCAAUGGCAAACCACUUCUGUAGAAAAAUUUGCCAAAAACAAUUAUAGGCAUGGAAAGACCAUGAUCGCUCACAUCAUACAACAGGGCAGAUUUUGUCUUCGUUUGAACGUUGGUGGUCUGUCAGUCUUUGUGUGGAGUUUUUCACUGAUUCUGUUGUAUUCCUUCGUUCUACAGUGAAUGCCUGCAAGAAAAUGAACCUGUGGGUAAUGUAUGGUGAUGUAUGCGUACUGUGAUAAUAACUUUAUUUUGAACUUUAAGGAGAAGGGAACAGAAAGAUGUGGUGAUGGGAAGGAUGAGAAAGUUUCUUGCACCACAUCAACUAAACAGAAGUACCAGCAUGGAGCAGAGGGGCUGAACAGCCUGUUGCUGCAUUGUCUGUUCAAAACAAACUAAACAGUAAAACAUCCUGCAAGCCUACAUUUAAAUUGGCAAUUAAAUUCUGCUGCUGCCUGUGUGGGUAUUAUCUGUGAUCAGGUAUAAUUUGUAUGCUCUGGGAGCUGCAGGUAUUAAAACACAAAUGUAAAACCAUUGGAGGAGAUUAAAUUCACCGAACGCUCGACACACAUCGAAAUGAGAAGUUAAAGAAUAGUAAUGACUCGCUGACAAGAGAUGUUCUCCGACCUGCAAGCUUGCCUUGCUGCUCAAUUAAUCAUCCCUUUCUCUGAGCACCGCAUCAAUCUAACCGAAAUCAGAUUUAUUUUUCUCCCCAUUUCACUCAAUCUUCGAUAAACUUUUAUUGAAAAGUGCUUGCUGCUGCUUGCCGGAGGGGCUUCUUCCCAAGCCAGCAGCUGAAGGGAAGGAGCUUGGCGUUGGAGCAGGCAUCUGACUCCACUGACUGUCCGAAACCCGCACUGCCUGGUAACGGUUAGUGUGACGCUGUUACAGCUCGGAGUCUUCGGCAUGCAAGUCAGGCACUGUUCCGUAAGGGGUCUCUGUACGUCCUCCAAACGGAAAGAGUGGGUGUCCUCUGGCUCCUCCAGUGUAAAGUCAUACUGGGUAGGUUAACUGCUCAUGUGAAUUGUCUUGCAAACAGGUUGGGCUUAAUCGUGUUUGUCAGUUGUUGCUGGGAUGGUGCGACCUGCGACCUGCGACCUGCUCCUCGCUUUAUCGCUAAACAUAGAAGUAACCCCAUUCUGAGAGGACCCAGAAUCCGAUCAGGCUUAAUAUCACUGAC
Long non-coding RNA from Hypanus sabinus (Atlantic stingray), 2296 nucleotides. RefSeq lists it as uncharacterized. Lineage: Eukaryota; Metazoa; Chordata; Chondrichthyes; Myliobatiformes; Dasyatidae. The transcript is spliced from 3 exons. The record is from RefSeq and is a predicted model, not a curated record.